ACUGCACCUACCAUCAAAGCCUCUAAUUUCAAGCUCACGCCACUCUUGAACCAGCGCGCAGCAGCAACACAUUAGAUGAGUUAAGAAAUCAUCACACACGCCUGCCUGCGAAACAGGAACUAGAUAAAUUUAUAAGCUAAUCAAGUGUAGCAGCAACAACCGCAGAAGAGGGAGUAUGCCAUUAGAUCAUUGAUCGCGCGCUCGCUGGCUGUAUCGAUCUCAAAAUGCAAACAUGUACAAUGUCAUGUUAACAACUAGCACGUUCGUGAAAGAUGAUUCCAAUACCGUGAAUUGACAUGCAUGCAUGCUAUGCGCUCACAUAUUUUCUCUUGU
Long non-coding RNA from Juglans microcarpa x Juglans regia, 333 nucleotides. RefSeq lists it as uncharacterized. NCBI's taxonomy places the organism in Eukaryota, Viridiplantae, Streptophyta, Magnoliopsida, Fagales, Juglandaceae. The record is from RefSeq and is a predicted model, not a curated record. The transcript is spliced from 2 exons.